This 274-nucleotide ribosomal RNA is filed under the name uncultured bacterium. RNAcentral describes it as "partial 16S ribosomal RNA". It matches the Rfam family "Bacterial small subunit ribosomal RNA", at positions 523 to 796 of the family's 1533-position model. The record is from RNAcentral.
AUACGAAGGGGGCUAGCGUUGUUCGGAAUCACUGGGCGUAAAGCGCGCGUAGGUGGAUCAAUUAGUUGAGGGUGAAAUCCCGGGGCUCAACCUCGGAACUGCCUUCAAUACUGUUGAUCUUGAGACCGAGAGAGGUGAGUGGAAUUCCUAGUGUAGAGGUGAAAUUCGUAGAUAUUAGGAAGAACACCAGUGGCGAAGGCGGCUCACUGGCUCGGUACUGACGCUGAGGUGCGAAAGCGUGGGGAGCAAACAGGGUUAGAAACCCCAGUAGUCC